CAGCUCAGCUGUAAAGCUGAGGUGGUGGUUUGGGCUGCUCUGUCCUGUAUGGAACAAAGGGCAAGAUCCCGGGGUGGAUCCGCUGCAGGCACAGCACGCUGGGGGGACGCACGCUGCCCGCACCCUGGGGACAGAUGGCACCAGGUCAGUGUGACCAUCACAGCACAGAAACAGGAGCCAAGAAAUCACUGUCCUGCUGGGAUAUUCAGGCUGCAGCUUCCGAGGGUACCGCGGGGCCCCUUGGAGCCCCGGUUCAGGUCCAAGGCCACGGGCACGCACAGGAGACAGUCUGGGCGGGCAGCAGGGGAGGCACCGAGCACGUGAGCAAGGCUGCCUUCAGGGAACUAAUUUAGGCAGAGAAUUUCUAGAUUAGCUAAAUUGAAUCAAAACAUUGCAAUACAGUUCAAUAAUUACUUUUACAGCAAAUGUGCUUUAAAAUGAACAAAUCAUUUUGACAGAGAACUGAGCAGCUGAUGAUAAACUCAUAUGAAAGUAUGAGCUUUGUAUAUAUGAAACUGUAUAAAAGCCUUUAAUAUAUUUUUACUAUGAUCAUUAAUAUAGCAUAUAUUCAAAAAACUUCUACUGAAGCUUUCAAUUAUCUUUUUUUUUUUCCCUUGUUUAAUAAAAUGUUGAUGGAGGAUGAGUAAUAAGUUGUCUUUAGGUAUCUCAACGGCAAUCAUUAUUUUCCACUUAAAAUUAAAUUACUUUUAAAUUUUGGUUAUAUAAAUUUUAAUAGCAACAAAUGGUAUGCCAUUAUCUUAAUAUAGUGCAAUUUAUCACCUAUGAAAAUCAAUAAAUCUAUUAAAGACAGGCAACAAACUAUUAGGUCUUUCCUGUUGUACAGAGGCCAAAGGAAAAUUG
Molecule: long non-coding RNA, 861 nt
Organism: Cygnus olor (mute swan)
Lineage: Eukaryota; Metazoa; Chordata; Aves; Anseriformes; Anatidae
Exons: 3
Source: RefSeq, a predicted model, not a curated record